This 172-nucleotide ribosomal RNA is filed under the name Staphylococcus aureus. RNAcentral's name for it is "partial 23S ribosomal RNA". It matches the Rfam family "Bacterial large subunit ribosomal RNA", at positions 2753 to 2925 of the family's 2925-position model. Lineage: Bacteria; Bacillati; Bacillota; Bacilli; Caryophanales; Staphylococcaceae. The record is from RNAcentral.
GUGUGGACGGGAUAAGUGCUGAAAGCAUCGAAGCAUGAAGCCCCCCUCAAGAUGAGAUUUCCCAACUUCGGUUAUAAGAUCCCUCAAAGAUGAUGAGGUUAAUAGGUUCGAGGUGGAAGCAUGGUGACAUGUGGAGCUGACGAAUACUAAUCGAUCGAAGACUUAAUCAAAA